RNAcentral lists this unclassified non-coding RNA (329 nucleotides) under uncultured Spizellomyces. RNAcentral describes it as "sequence contains ITS2". Lineage: Eukaryota; Fungi; Chytridiomycota. The record is from RNAcentral.
AACGCACAUUGCGCUUCCUGGUAUUCCGGGGAGCAUGCCCGUUUCAGAAUCAUAAUAAUCUCACAAAGCUAUUUGCUUUCGAGCUUUUGGCCGUGUGGAGUUGGGAUUUUUUGCAGUUUGCCUGCAAUCGCCCAAAAAUGAUUGUAUGUGCGCCAAUUGAGCAAAGUUGGUUGUCAAAGUGCAACAGAGGUCUACUUCCAUUCACUUUGACAGUUUAAUUUUGAGCGUUGUGACGCGUAUGCCGCCAACAUCAAACAUUCAGCAGGACGCAAUGUCGUGCUGUUUGAAAUCUUGGUCUGAAAUCGGGCAAGAAAACCCGCUGAACUUAA